This is a non-coding RNA of Podarcis muralis (Common wall lizard), 398 nucleotides long. The record is from RefSeq and is a predicted model, not a curated record. NCBI's taxonomy places the organism in Eukaryota, Metazoa, Chordata, Lepidosauria, Squamata, Lacertidae.
UGGCUCGACAACCUCUUUGGAGCCUUGGGGACGAAGAAGGUGUACUUGAGGCGCGGGGUCUUCUGGUCGGUCACCACCAAGGCUUGCAAGGUGCUUAAGUUGUCACAUGAGGCCAGGAUGGUGAGGAAGGAAGCUCGACCACCGGGGCUGAAAAGAUCCAACUGAACAGUCGAGGAAUGCGCAGAUCGGAAGGCAAAGUCCUACCAUGGUCAUUGUCUAGGAAGUCAGUGAUGAAGCGGGCACUGCAUGGGGACCACAUCUCUUCAGGGUCCACGGGGGACAUGAUGGAGGCCAUCAUGUGGCAAAUUUCGCAGCGUCUCGGCAGCGUUGGACGACACCCGCAACCCGUCCUUGGAUUGUCCAAUCACAACCAGCCUGGUCACGACCAAGUUGACUGG